Molecule: long non-coding RNA, 683 nt
Organism: Diospyros lotus (date-plum)
Lineage: Eukaryota; Viridiplantae; Streptophyta; Magnoliopsida; Ericales; Ebenaceae
Exons: 3
Source: RefSeq, a predicted model, not a curated record
CAGGUGAAGUACGAGAUUUCACGCUCUUAUGAGAAAGUUGAUGAGACGCUAAAGCUUAUUCUUAAAGAGGUUUGCUGGCUUUGGUGGUUGUCCCUCCCAGCCAUUUCCAUCACUGUUCGCUGUUUGGGAGCAUUCUUUGUGAAAUUUCUCACAAGAGACAGGCUACAGCAUCUCUAGCUUCCUCGAUUGCGGAAUGGAGAGAACGUAUGCUGUUACUGUUGAAAAUAUUGAAUGUGCAUACUUUGAUCAAGUUGAAAAACUUUCUGGUUUUGGAUUACAUAACAGGGAAAGUAUUGCUCAACUGGUGUGGGCUUUCUUCAACUAUUGGGCUUAUUGCCACUAAGGUGAGUAUACGCUCUAUACCUUGGCACUGGUGUUAAUUUCUGAAAAUAUGACAAAUGUAAAUUCAUAGAAUAAUUUAUAAUAUAAUGCCAGAAGGAAUUAGCUUUAUAAAGCCAUUUAACUAACAUUGUCAAGGGGCGGUUUUCAUUGAAUAAGUAAUAAAUAGAAUUGUUUUGGUUUCCCCUUUGUUUCACUUUCAUCAAAUAAUGGUUUUUUUGUUUUGGAUAUUCAUUAUUAGGAUUUUUAAAUCUUAUUUCAUUAGGAUAGUUCAUAAUCAUCAUCACAAGCCUUAACCCCACAUUGGGUUUCUACAUGAAUCCUUGUUGUCCUUUCAUCUAUGC